UUUUGUCUCGAUUUAUAUUUCCCUCCAGAGGAGAAACUAGGUGGCCCCUGGAAUUCCACAGCAUCUAAAAUGUGCCGCGGGAAAACGCUCCGAAGGCGUGCAGGGAAUUAACCCUUUCCGUUCCGCCGGCCGAGACCGACAUUUAAGGGCGUCCUCCCCGGACUUGCUGUCCAUUAGCCCCAGUUUACUCUGUAGCCAGAUCCCAUCUCUCCGGAUCACCUUCCAGUUCUGCUGUCCGCUCUAGAGUUUCUGGGAUGAUCGAUGGGCAAACUUCCGCUGCAGACCCGGCGUUCAUCCCCUCCCUAACCCUCACGGUCCACCUUAAGGAGACUCCGCAGCCGAAAGUAGAGGCGGGUGUUUUGUUCUUAUAAGGAGGAAAAGUUUCUUUGACAUCCAGGAAAUGAGUAACUCUGAAGUCCUUUAGAGCCCCCGCUGAUGGAGGCCAGAAGGCGGGAGCCGGCUGGGGUAUCACCGCCCGCGUCCCUCUAAUUGCCCUGACGCUCCGCGGCAGCAGCCGCCAGACAGCCGAUUCCGGGCCCCCGGGACCCGCGCGUGCAGCGGAGGCUCGCGCGGUCCCUCCCGCGCCAGGGAGCGGACACCAAGACUAAACGAAAGCUGCAGCCAUGGCGCUGGGGCUCUUCCGGGUGUGUCUGGUUGUGGUGACCGCCAUCAUCAACCAUCCGCUGCUGUUCCCGCGAGAGAACGCCACGGUCCCCGAGAACGAAGAGGAGAUCAUCCGCCAGAUGCAGGCCCACCAGGAGAAGCUGCAACUGGAGCAGCUGCGCCUGGAGGAGGAGGUGGCACGGCUGGCAGCCGAGAAGGAGGCGCUGGAGCGGGUAGCAGAGGAGGGCCAGCAGCAGAACGAGAGCCGCGCAGCCUGGGACCUGUGGAGCACCCUCUGCAUGAUCCUCUUCCUGGUGAUCGAGGUGUGGCGGCAGGACCACCAGGACGGGCCCUCGCCCGAGUGCCUGGAAGAAGAUGAGCUGCCUGGCCUGGACGGCGCCCCGCUCCGGGGCCUCACCCUGCCCAACAAGGCCACGCUGGACCACUUUUACGAGCGCUGCAUUCGAGGAGCCACAGCCGACGCUGCCCGCACCAGGGAGUUUGUGGAAGGCUUCGUGGAUGACUUGCUGGAAGCACUGAGGAGCCUGUGCAGCCGGGACUCAGACAUGGAGGUGGAGGACUUCAUCGGCGUGGACAGCAUGUACGAGAACUGGCAGGUGAACAAGCCGCUGCUGUGCGACCUCUUUGUGCCCUUCAUGCCCCCAGAGCCCUACCACUUCCACCCAGAACUCUGGUGCUCUGGCCGCUCCGUGCCCUUGGAUCGCCAGGGCUAUGGCCAGAUCAAGGUGGUCCGGGCAGACGAGGACACACUGGGCUGUAUCUGCGGCAAGACCAAGCUGGGGGAAGACAUGCUGUGUCUCCUCCACGGCAAGAACAGCGUGAUGCGGCGGCCGGGCAGUGAGGCGGGAGAGCUGCUGUGUGCCGGAGACUCUCCAUACCUAGACACCAUGCGGGUCAUGAAGUGGUUCCAGACGGCCCUCACCAAAGCCUGGCACUGCAUUGCCCACAAGUACGAGUUCGACCUGGCCUUUGGCCAACUGGACACCCCGGGAUCCCUCAAGAUCAAGUUCCGCUCGGGGAAGUUCAUGCCCUUCAACCUGAUUCCUGUGAUCCAAUGUGACGAUUCCGACCUGUACUUUGUCUCCCACCUUCCCAGGGAGCCCUUCGGGAAUACCCCGGCAUCCAGCACCGAUUGGCUCCUGUCCUUCGCUGUCUACGAGCGCCACUUCCUCAGGAUGACCUCGAAGGCGCUGCCGGAGGGUUCCUGCCACCUCAGCUGCUUGCAGAUCGUCUCCUUCUUGCUCUCCAAGCAAAGCCGCCUGACCGGCCCCAGCGGGCUUGGCAACUACCACCUGAAGACCGCUCUGCUGCACCUCCUGCUGGCCCGGCGACCCACCGACUGGAAGGCUGGGCAUCUCGACGCUCGUCUGCACGAGAUGCUCUGCUUCCUAGAGAAGAGCCUGCUGGAGAAGAAGCUCCAUCACUUUUUCAUCGGCAACCGCAAGGUGCCGGAAGCCCUGGGGCUCCCCGAGGCGGUGCGCAGGGCUGAGCCUCUCAACCUCUUCCGGCCCUUUGUCCUGCAGCGAAGUCUCUACCGGAAGACAGUGGACUCCUUCUAUGAGAUGCUCAAGAAUGCCCCAGUGCUCAUUAGCGAGUACUCCCUCCAUAUCCCCUCAGACCACUCCAGCCUGCCCCAAAAAGCUGUCAUCUCGUAGAGCAUCCUUGACCCAGAGGACUAGGACAAGGGGCAUCGCACAUGUCCACACCCCUGGGGAUAUCCACAGGCUCUGUCCUGGAAAAAUGAUGGGCUUUGUAGGGUGCCGUGGCUCAGCCUUUCAGGGAAGCCAGACCCUAUAGCACAGAGGAAACGGAAUUCCAAGCCAAAGCUGGUUUGCUUUCGUGCCAUUGGGACCUGCUGGUGAAGCUGUUGUCUGGGUUUGGGUACCGACCAACCCUUUGCAGCUUACUUUUGGAUCACCACCAGUGGCUGAGGUGACGGAAGAGCUCUGUGAACACUGAGUUACAGACAAUGCAAAUAUCGAUUUGGGUGUAAUUCUUUUUACAUCCCACAUCCAGUCUUUACUUGAAUAUCAACAAAGGAGCUACAGGAAUGCUAACAGGGACCCAUGUUAAGACCCUGCAGCCCUAUUUUCAGUGAUCCUUGGCCCCAGGCAUCUGCAACUAAAGCACUAAUAGGAGCAGAUGUGGGAAUUUACCGCGCUCCGUCCACAGCCUGCGCAAGAGGGGUCCCCACCAUGGCUGUUUUUUCAUACUGUUUGUAGAGAAGACCUCGAGAGAUUCAAGGCCCCAGUGGCUCUGUUGUACAGAAGUGGGUACUCAGUGGCAGAGAGUUUAAAUUGGCCGCUAUUUUAGCUACAUGUCUCACUCAGGGUGCACCUCCUUCUCUCUGCCUCUUCCAUGAGGAUUCUGUGUCCUGAACCUUGUGGGUGCCACAUACCCUGCUGGGUACACAUCACAAAGCCCUUACCCCUUGUUACUCCUGCUGGUCUCCCUGACCACCAGGAUGUGAGAGGGUGGGCACUGAAGAUGGAAGGUGAUAGAGAAAGAAGGGCAUGGGGUGACUGGAGCAAAGGACAGAGCCUGGUACCCAAGGUGCUGGGGUCAGGGUGCAGUGUGGCCUCAGCUCAAGAAGGUUGGAGAGGUGAGGAGCGAGGGAGGCCGCAGCCCUGAGUUUCCCUCAGGGUUCCUAUCCUAGGUUCCAGGGUACACCUGGAGGCAAGGUCUGCUGUAGAAACCCAGCUCCAUCUGAAGGCCCCCAAAGCUCCUUGGCUCUUCAUUCCAGUGGGGCCCCCUCACUGCACAAAACCUACACCUCCGUUCUGCAUGGGCCUUGCUGGCCACACAGAUGACCAGCACCCGAAGCACCUGACAGAGGCUCAGCAGACUGGACACAUAGGAACAGACUGCAAGCACAGCCCUCAGACCUGAGAGAGACUGCCUUGGCACUGCUGGGCUUCUGUCCCCAGGCAGGCCCCAGAGCCUGCGGUCAGAGCUGGCCUCCGUCUCCAGGCCUGGUUGGGGCGGGUGGGGCUGGGAAGCCGCUCCCUCCUCCACUUGUGGCUUCACUGGCCCUUUGGGAGUUCCUCUCUUGGCAUCGCCUCAGUAACCCUUGCAGAGGCUGAGGAGGAAGCAGGAAUGAGUGCUCUUCCCUCCAGAGUUGAAGCUGGUUGUGCCUCCCCGACAGCCUACCCAGUUCCUUAGGGGCGUCGGGCUCCCCAUAAACUGAAGAAAGGAUCCUGUCUCUACCACAGAGGUGCUGUCACCUAGCGUCAAGAGUGUUCUAGAAGAUGGGCGGUUUGCCUGACAAGGUUAAUCCCCAGUGGUAGGCUCAGCUGUGAUGGGGCGUGGAAGCCCAAAACUGGAUUUGGACUGAGCAGCGCCUGGGUCCGCCCCUCCCCAGGCCCACAUGAUCUCCAGCCACAACCCUGAGCGCCCCCAUUCCACAGGGAUUCAUUUCUAGAGUUGGGGAAAAUUUCCUUAUUUAUUGUCACCCGUGCCUUGCCUUUCCCAUCAUCAUCCUCAUCUAGAGACCCCAGCAACCAAGAACCAGCCUUCGCAAGCCAAGACCAAGCCUGACUCUCUCCUUCACUUCCAGGAGAAAAUCCACUGAAAAAUUACCUUCUGGCCUCUUGUUUAUAGAGAGACAACAGCUCAGCGGGGAAACGGGGUGUUUUUUUGUUUUGUUUUGUUUUGUUUUAAUGCACCAAAGCUGCUUCUGAAGCAGAAAGCGGCGGGGCUCUUGGGUUUCAUGCUGCCUUAUUUAUAUUAAAGGAAGAAUUAAAUUCAUGCAAAGAGUAGAAACUGGUCACGGUGUUUGUUUUUAACUUCAGGAAGUCUGAGGUUCCCAGGGCAGAACUGGGGAGGGGGGGGUUUCCUAUUGACAAGCGGAAGUUUUCACUCCCUUUUUAUUCUUAUACUUUCAGAAAACUUUAAAAAAUAGCAAGAUAGAAUAUUUCUGGCCCAUCUUUGAGGCAGCCUGCAGAGUUCCAAAAAGGGCCUUUGAAAGCCAGCUGUAAGGUGGAUUCUAGCACAAAACCCUAUUUCACAGAGCUGAUGUGGGCAAAGAAUGUGGGGAUUAGGCUUGAAGGAGAGAGAUUGUCUUUUAAAACAGAAGAGUUCUGGUCCUUUGGGGCCCUUAGGCCUUUGCACUAAGGACAACUUUCUCUGAGGACUCUCCUUCCCAAGGAUGCUAGACUUUACACAGCAGUCUGUUCACUUACUGUACCAAAUGCCUCCAGGCUGGUUCCAGGGCCCCACUGCAGACUUCAGAGGAAUCUCUAGGAGUCAGGCAUAGGACUCUGCAUUUUGUCAAGUCCUCCAGGUAAUGCUGGAAGUCCAAGAAUCCCUGACACCUGGGGCAUCGGGGAAGGCCUCAUGGUACAGUGCUGCCUGAUACUGUUUCUGGAAGAUGGGCAGGAUUGACCAGGAAAAGCAUUUCAGCUGGAACCAUGAAGUGAGAAUAGGAAAGCAUAACAGAGGUAGGCAAUCUUUAAGUAGUACCUACUGUAUGCCAAGCACCCUUUCAGAGCGGGGUUGGUGGCAGCUGUGGCAACAGUGGGUGAACAUCCUGGAAAUCUCAACUUAAGUCCCUCUGCAGACUGUGAUUCAGAACAUUCUCAUGCUCCAUCCGGUCUCCACCUCAGGGGAAGGAGUGGGAAGGUUGUUUGGUUUGGCCAGAGGACCACCAGCAGAGAGAGCCAAGAACCACCCAGUGAUGGAAGUGUGUGCCUUCAGGUCACCUCACCGCCCCCUUCACCCUCCUCAGCCUUGCCCCCGCCCAGCACCCCAGAGGGACAGCUUUCAGACUUCACUUUUCUCAUUGCCAUCCAAAGACAGCUUGUUUUUCUGACUUUUUUUUUUUUUAACAAAAACAUUACAGUCAUGAUAAAAAAAUUCAACCACUAACAGAAAAAUUAAGUAACAGACGAAGUUCCCACUCUUGACUUGCCCAGCAUCAACCAAUAGGACGUCUCCUGCCUACCCUUCCAAAAUCAUUCUGUGUGUACAUAUCACAUGUGUGGAUGCAUCCUUCUAGUUCUUUUUUUCUGUAAAUUACAUCAUACCAUCUAACUUUUCUUGGACAUCUUUUUUGAACAUUUGUCUCUAACUCACUCUUCAUUUUUUUUAUUUUUUUAUUUUUUUUCUUUUUGGCCACCCCCACAGCAUAUGGAGAUCCAAGGACAGGGAUCAGAUCCGAGGUGCACUUGCAACCUAACCCACAAUGGCAACACUGGAUCCUUAACCCACUGUGCCAGGCCUGGAAUCGAACCUGCAUCCCAGCACUCCCAAGACACCACCAAUUCCUGUUGCACUGCAGGGGGAACUCCUCUAACUUAACUUAUUCUUUAAAGUAGCUGCUUAUCACCUCCUUGUGUGAUAGAUGUACCCUAAUUUACCCACCCUCCCCUGAGGACCACUGAGGCAUCUCCACUUUUUUGCUUUUACAAACAAUGCUUUAGCAAACAUCUCAGUUCUUAAAAGCCUUCUUUGAAGUGAUUCUCUCCUGGUAAUUGCUGUGUUCUGUGCUCACCAACUUGCUGUAUAUGGAUUCACCAGCAAGCAUCUUACUAUAAAAAUAAGAACAAUCCCUUUCUUCUGUAACGUAUUCAAUUAUCCUGACUCCAGAGUGAGGGAAAAGCUCUUUUUUUUUUUUUUUUUUUGUCUUUUUAGGCCUGCUCCACGGCAUAUGGAGGUUUCCAGGCUUGGAGUCGAAUCCAAACUGUAGCCACUGGCCACAGCAACACCAGAUCCGAGCCAUGUCUGCAACCUACACCAAGGCUCACAACAACGCAGGAUCCUUAACCCACUGAGCAAGACCAGGGAUGGAACCUGCAUCCUCAUGGAUACCAGUCCAGAUUUGUUUCCACUGAGCCACGACAUGAACUCCAGAAAAGGCAUUUUUAACCAAGUACUCAGCAGCACAGCUCAUGUUCCAUCUUGGGUCAGAUGCUAUUUAUGGAACGGAAGUAUAAGACAAAGGAAGGGCACUGUCCCCAAGGAACUGGGUCUAUUAGGAAGACGAGUCUGAUGGAUCUAAGGCCAAGGACAAUGAAGGCUGGAAAAUGUGAAGCGCCUCCCCAAAGAAAAUCAAAUCAACACGACUGUCAUUCUGUCACCACAUGCCUGUAUUCCAUUCAUCUGAGCUCAGGGCUGAUUAAUUUCCUCCUGCACAAUGUGGGACCCCUGCUUUAGAGCAUUUGUUAAUCCUCCAGACAGAGAAGCUCUUGAAACCCUACCCCUGCAAGACCAGACAAGACCACAAGCAGUGAGAUUACUCAGCCUGAGUAGUCAGUGCUCCAGAGAGAGUCAAGGAAGUGAGGUCCUUGUCCUCCAUGUGCCCUCUCAAACUGGAGGCCCAUGAGGGACCCAGACCUCUGUCAUGACAAGACGUGCAGAGACCAAUGCGGCUGAGAUUCCAGACAGUGCAGAUGGCACAGGGGCUGAGAACUUGGACUCUGUGUUUAAAUCCAGUUAUGCCAUGUCCUAGCUCAGCAAGUCUCAUAAUUUCUAUAAGCCUUGGUUUUCCUUAGUUUCUUCUGUAAAAUGGGAAUGAUAGUGUCCACUUCAUAGAACCAUUGAAAAGAUUGAGUGAAAAGGGCACAUGUAAAGCACUUAGCUUAGGGCUUGAUGAAUAAUAACAAAAAUAGCAGCAGUUAUUACCCUUGCUCUUAGGAGGCCCCCUUACAGCCAAAUUCCUACUUUGUGGUUUCCCCAUUGGUGGUAAGGCUGUCCCUCAAGUACCCACUCGCCCCCACUCUGUGGCAUGUGAGUCUGUCUUCUCUGGAGGCUCUCUUAGUACAGGGCAUGACCUGCCCGACCUGUUUCCUCCACACAUACCUUAGGGUCAUGUGCAUGCCCAGUAAAUAUCUGUGACCAAAGUGGGUCUGGGACACUGGCCUCAGUUUGAGAAUAGGAAGUGGUGUCUUACCUUGACUCAUCUGACCCCUCUGCUCUCUGUCCCUUUGCAGAACUGUCAGAGCCUAGACCAGUAGUUGCCAUAGCAACAACAGAGCCCAAGAGAGGGUACCAGUCAGGGCAUCCCUGAUUCUCAAGAGACAAGGUGCUUUUUCUGGACAGCAAAGAGGGGAAACAGCUGUGACAGCUGCCUUACAAUGAGCUCCCUGGGAGGCAUACACCCCUUCAUUCCAUCACUCAUCCAAUCAUGUAUUCGCUCCUUCACAAAACAUUUAUUGAGUGGCUAUCACUAUGCCAGAUGCUAAGAAAACAGAAUUCAAGUGAAACACUGUUCCUGCCUUGAGACAGGUUCCAGUCUAGAGGGAACCAGAAGGGAAGGCAGGGAGGGCGGGCGGCAGGAGGGUAUGGGUCAGAGGGAAGCAGAGGAGUGCAGAGGUUAAGAGCAUGUCCUCUGGAGUCAGCUGCCUGCAUUCAAACCCAGACUUUGCCCAUUACUGGCCAUGUGACAUCUGGGCAAGUUACUUCAUCUCUAAGCCUCAGUUUAUUCAUAUGUAAAAUGGGGUAACUAGUGCUUACCUCAAAGACUCUGAGGUAUCUUUAGUACAUGUAAAUCACGUGACAUGUAGCAAGCACUCAAUAACCAGUAGGUUUUCUAUUGUUCUGGCUCUACCCCAGGUUCCAUCCUCCACAUACCCAAAACCAGUUUCAGAUUAGAGCUUCCUCCAGGGCUCCCUCAGCAGAGCCCUAGCUAACCCUGGCUUCCAGGCUAAGCAGCCCCACUGCCACUGCACCUGGGACUUCUGUGUGUACCUCAUCCCCUGCUGCCAGCAGAUUUUUCGGACAGUGUUCCAGGUAAAGUCCCCAAAGGGGUGUCUUCUGUUUGGCACAUGAAUGGCCAAGGACCACUUGUUUAAGGAUGGAAUUUUGAGAAUACCUUCUGCCCUGAUUAUUUAUAGGAUUCCUCAGUAUUCAUCCUAGUACUUUCCUCCUUGGGCAGAAAUGCCCAGAAACACACACACACACGCACAUACACACACAUCCUUUGAGAGGUUUUCUAAAUCCUUGAGCAUAACCCAAAUACUCAAGUAUAAACCCCGAUUUAGCAAAGGCUUCCCCGCCCUCCAGGCCUGAGCUGCUGGAAGGGGUGGUGCCACUGCUCAGGCUCCCCUGUGUGGGCAGUGUGGUCAGAGCCUGCGUUAGUGGUUUUGUCCUCUUUGGCUGACAGGCCUAUAAAUCCUCUUUCUUGUUGGCUCCCAGCCCUCUGAGGGAGUCUGUCUGCUACUGACGAAGUGGACUGGAGACCUUUGCUAUCUGUCUGCGAGGGGAUUCUUGGUUGUAGUGGAUCCUUGGGAGGACAUGACAGGGCAGUUUCCUGUAGUUCAUGUCUGGAGCACGUGUGUAAUAUUUUCCAUGAGCAGCACAGCUCCAGGUGUCUUUGUGUUCCAUGCAGCCUCCAAGCUGCCAGGUACCUGGGCAGACCUGUGUGCAUUUCAAAUCCCUUACACUUUAACCCGUGGAAGGUGGUGAUGUGCUCCAAGAGGGCAGAGAAGCUGGAUUCUGAGUACUCCUCCAUAACACAGGAGAGGGUAUUUAUUGUACCAUCAGCAGCAACAUGGCAGAAUUCCAAGAGUCACAGUAUGACACUAGGCUUGAGAUUCGAGGAGUGCAGAUGAGGGGAGGGAAGAAAGGUCCGGCUUCCAAGGGCUCACAGGUCAUUUGAGAUUAAGUCUGCACACAUGAAGCAACCAGAAAACAAUUCCAAGCCGUGGAUCAAGCUGCAUGCAAUGUAGUACAUCUUGUUUGACAAAGUGAUGGGAGAAUAAACAGAGUUCAUGUCUGAUCAUCCACAGAAGCCUCACCGUGAGAGUAGAGUUGCCCACCAUUCACUGAGCAUUUCCCCUGCAGGUCCUAAAUCCUUACAGGGAUGACCCCAUCAUUGUUCAGGGACCCUAGGAAACACGUACUUGGUGGUCUCAUGUUCCAGACAAGAAACUGAAGCUCAGAGGGAUUGAGCAACUAGUCCAUGAAGUUUAAUUAAAGUCAGAGCCAGGAUUUGAACCCGCUACAUCUGACCAACACAGCUCCCUUUUUAUGCACCAUGGCACACCAUCUCUUUGCCCAAAGAAGGAUUCUUUUUUUUUUUUAGGGCCGCUGCCGCAGCAUAUGGAGGUUCCCAGGCUAGGGGUCUAAUCAGAGCUAUAGCCACCGGCCUAUGCCAGAGCCACAGCAACGCAGGAUCUGAGCCCUGUCUGCGACCUACACCACAGCUCACAGCAACGCCAGAUCCUUUACCCACUGAGCAAGGCCAGGGAUCGAACCUGCAACCUCAUGGUUCCUAGUCGGAUUCGUUAACCACUGCGCCACGACAGGAACUCCCAAAGAAGGAUUCUUACCUGAACUUGCCAAGAGAAAAUCUAGUUGGGAAAAACAAAACAAAACAAAACAAAAAACCAGGCGGCUGCUCUGAAGAUUAGAGAGUAAAGGAAACAGCGUUUGCAAAGCCUCAAGAACUGUGACAAACCAGAUGUGAGCAAAAUGUUUGAAAAGACCAAAUGUCCAGCCUUCCAGGGACUCACAGAUGUAGACAAAUGAGGAGUGGAGCUCCUGAGUGGGCACAGUGCUCAGUGGGCUGGGGUUGGGGAGGGGCCGGAGGCUAAGCAAUGAGAAGACCCUUGGGUUGGAUUUUUUUUUUUCUUUAUGGCCAUACCAUACGGCAUAUGGGAGUUCCCAGGCCAGGGACUGAAUCCAAGCCACAGCUGCAGCAAUACCAGAUCUCUUAACCCACUUUGCCAGGCCAGGGAUAGAACCUGCAUUUUCAGAGCUAUUUGAGCCACUCAGUCAGUUUCUUAACCCACUGCACCACGGCUGGAACAUCUCAGGCUAGAUAUUUGGCUGGUUGUGCAGACUUUAGAUAACAAAUGGAACCAGGCUGACAUAAACCACUGGACAGCCCGAGACAAAGCAGCAAAGAUUCCCCACCAUCAAGAAGGCCAUUGAAACAUGGAUGCAACUAAAGAGUCUCAGACUAAGUGAAGUAAGUCAGAAAAAGGAAGAGAAAUACCAUAUGAUAUCACUUAUGUGUGGAAUCUAAAAUAGGGCACAAAUGAACCUAUCUAUAAAACAGAAACAGACUCACAGACAUGGAGAACAGACUUGUGGUUGCCAAGGGGGAGGGGGAGAGGGAGGGAGUGGUAUAGACUGGGAAUUUGGGGUUAAUAGAUGUAAAGUAUUGCCUUUGGAAUAGAUAAGCAAUGAAAUCCUGCUGUAUGGCCCUGGGAGCUGUAUCUAGUCACUUAGGAUGAAGCAUGAUAAUGUGAGAAAAAAGAGUGUAUAUGUGGAUGUGUGACUGGGUCACCUUGCUGUACAGUAGAAAAUUGACAGAACACUAUAAACCAGCUAUAAUGGAAAAAACUAAAAAUCAUUUUAAAAAAUAAAAAAGAGCACAAAUGAACCUAUCUACAGAACAGAAACAGACUCACAGACAUGGAGAACAGAUUCGUGGUUGCCGAGGGGGAGGGAGAGGGAGUAGGAUGGACUGGGAGUUGAGGUUAGUAGAUGCAAACUAUUAGAAUGGAUAAGCAAUGAGAUUCUGCUGUAUAGCACAGGGAACUAUAUCCAAUCACUUGUGAUAGAACACAAUGGAAGAUAAUAUGAGAAAAAGAAUGUGUAUAUAUACAUAUACUUUAUAUAUAUAUAUGUAUGUAUGUAUGUAUGACUGGGUCACUGCUAUACAGCAGCAAUUGAAAUAAAGUAAAUCAACUAUACUUUAAUUUUUUAAAAAAUCUUUUUUCAAAAAGAAGACCACUGACUUUGACAAUAGAAAUGUGGACCAGGUGGGAUGCAAAGUGAGAAAUUAAAGGAGAGAUCACCCCCACCCUCACCCCAAAAGCUCCAAGGAGCAUUAUGGAGGUGCACACAGGCAGUCCCUGCAGGACUGAAGAGGCUUAACCUUGGACUUGAUCAUUCAGGUUUAAUCCACUCUAACACUCACAUCCACUCUGCUAUCUGACAUCAGAGAAGUUUAGAGCUAGAAGGAAUUUCAAGUAACUUUUACUCACCAUCAGCCACCCACCACCACUGCCAGCUGACCUGGCCACACCAUGCUACCCCCACUGUGUCAGGAUGUAAUUGGACUCAGCCCAGAUGGGCUCCAGUCCAGAACCUCUAAGGUAAAGAGUCCACACAACUUCCUCUGGUUCUGAUGUGAACAUCAUCUCUGACAAGGAGGUGCUUUUGAUGCUGUGGUUUACACUAGUUUUCUCUUUUUCCAAUCUGCGGGACAUAGGAGACAAAUUUCACCUGCUUUCAUAAGAUACACUCCCAUUGUUAAAAGUGGGACAUGGGAUGAUGGAAGACCCCUUCCUCUUUCACUGGAUUUUUUUUUAACCCUGAUAUUGUUUAUGCCCCCCCCCAAUAAAAGAAGGGGUAUUCUGAAAACUCAUGGAGCAUUAUUUUUCUCUUUUCUCCAGGCUAUGCUUCUAGUUUCAUCCAGAGGUUGACAACUCAGAUUCCUCUGUGGCUCAGAUGGGUAAUAUACAGGAAUGAGACGGAAGUAGUGGAAGGCAGUGGAGGUGACCCUGGCCAGCUGCAGAGAUCAUGCUUGGCUGAAAGGCUUUCACAUCUCAAACUGGGCUUCAGGGUUCUGGCCUGCAGAUUUCCUACUUUUCUCCAUCCUUUAUUUCCUGGAUUUCCAAGCUUUCUAAAUUAGCAUGUGGAGCCCCAGAAGAGAACAUCUUUUGUUUUGGCCACCCAGUGACAAGCCCUUUAUUUGUUGUGUCAACAACAGUCUUGGUCCCAUGCCAAAUACCGGGCAGCACACAGGAUAUACACCUGUAAAGUUGAUCAAUCCCUGAGUCCCAGGAGAGGCCAUGGAAACAGAGCAAGGAUCCCAGGGAAAUGUGACUCUCAGACCUUACUCUGCAUUGGCUCGGGUGCCAUAGCAACAGAGAGCCCCAUCCUGAACAGAUGGCAGGGCAGAUUGCCCAGUCAGGUGGCAACCCCCACCACCCCAACCCCACCCAAGCAGGCUUGCUCUGUCCAACUGGCAUGAAGUCACAAUGGUAACUAUUUACAUGAGUCAAAAUCCGCCCAGAGGCAGCAGAUGGUGGGGCCAGGCUGAGACGUGGGAGAUAGAGGCUGGUUUGGGCUGAAUCAGAGGCAGCAGCAGCCGACAGCUCCUCCUUGGGCACCGACAAGUCCAAACAUCACUCCCGCCACUGCCUGGUCCCAGCAUGGCUGGAGGCUGGGAAAAGAUCUGGCAUGACCAAAGCUGAAAUGAUCACAGGCUGAUCCCGAGACCCUGAGAUAAAAUAGUAUUGAACAGGACUGUCCCUCUCUCCUAAGGCAUCUGCUGGGCUAUAUACUUUGGGGCUUUUUGUCAUCUCCAGUGGUGGGUGCUGCUGGAAGAAGCGGAAUCUGGCCAAGAGAAGCAUUCCUGUAAAUUGGUGCAGCUAUUAUGGAGAACAAAUCAAAGUUCCUUAAACAGUUAAUAAACAAUUACCAUAUGA
Non-coding RNA from Sus scrofa (pig), 13007 nucleotides. The record is from RefSeq and is a predicted model, not a curated record. NCBI's taxonomy places the organism in Eukaryota, Metazoa, Chordata, Mammalia, Artiodactyla, Suidae.